UAGGACAUUUGACACAGGGCUUUACACG
RNAcentral lists this non-coding RNA (28 nucleotides) under Mus musculus (house mouse). The record is from RNAcentral. Lineage: Eukaryota; Metazoa; Chordata; Mammalia; Rodentia; Muridae.